This 57-nucleotide transfer RNA is filed under the name Biomphalaria glabrata. It matches the Rfam family "tRNA", at positions 8 to 63 of the family's 71-position model. From Rfam's summary of the family: Transfer RNA (tRNA) molecules are approximately 80 nucleotides in length. Their secondary structure includes four short double-helical elements and three loops (D, anti-codon, and T loops). Further hydrogen bonds mediate the characteristic L-shaped molecular structure. tRNAs have two regions of fundamental functional importance: the anti-codon, which is responsible for specific mRNA codon recognition, and the 3' end, to which the tRNAs corresponding amino acid is attached (by aminoacyl-tRNA synthetases). tRNAs cope with the degeneracy of the genetic code in two manners: having more than one tRNA (with a specific anti-codon) for a particular amino acid; and 'wobble' base-pairing, i.e. permitting non-standard base-pairing at the 3rd anti-codon position. Lineage: Eukaryota; Metazoa; Mollusca; Gastropoda; Planorbidae. The record is from Rfam by way of RNAcentral.
UGGCUAAACGGUAAAGCGCUUGGCUUUCGAAUCAGAGGUCCCGGGUUCGAAUCCUGG